Molecule: ribosomal RNA, 858 nt
Filed under: Penicillium anatolicum
Lineage: Eukaryota; Fungi; Ascomycota; Eurotiomycetes; Eurotiales; Aspergillaceae
Description: LSU rRNA
Rfam family: Eukaryotic large subunit ribosomal RNA
Source: RNAcentral
GCAUAUCAAUAAGCGGAGGAAAAGAACCAACAGGGAUUGCCCCAGUAACGGCGAGUGAAGCGGCAAGAGCUCAAAUUUGAAAGCUGGCCCCCUCGGGGUCCGCAUUGUAAUUUGCAGAGGAUGCUUCGGGAGCGGCCCCCAUCUAAGUGCCCUGGAACGGGCCGUCAUAGAGGGUGAGAAUCCCGUAUGGGAUGGGGUGCCCGCGCCCGUGUGAAGCUCCUUCGACGAGUCGAGUUGUUUGGGAAUGCAGCUCUAAAUGGGUGGUAAAUUUCAUCUAAAGCUAAAUAUUGGCCGGAGACCGAUAGCGCACAAGUAGAGUGAUCGAAAGAUGAAAAGCACUUUGAAAAGAGAGUUAAACAGCACGUGAAAUUGUUGAAAGGGAAGCGCUUGCGACCAGACUCGCCCGCGGGGUUCAGCCGGCAUUCGUGCCGGUGUACUUCUCCGCGGGCGGGCCAGCGUCGGUUUGGGCGGCCGGUCAAAGGCCCCUGGAAUGUAACGCCUCUCGGGGCGUCUUAUAGCCAGGGGUGCCAUGCGGCCUGCCCGGACCGAGGAACGCGCUUCGGCUCGGACGCUGGCAUAAUGGUCGUAAGCGACCCGUCUUGAAACACGGACCAAGGAGUCUAACAUCUACGCGAGUGUUCGGGUGUCAAACCCGUGCGCGCAGUGAAAGCGAACGGAGGUGGGAACCCUUUGGGUGCACCAUCGACCGAUCCUGAUGUCUUCGGAUGGAUUUGAGUAAGAGCGUAGCUGUUGGGACCCGAAAGAUGGUGAACUAUGCCUGAAUAGGGCGAAGCCAGAGGAAACUCUGGUGGAGGCUCGCAGCGGUUCUGACGUGCAAAUCGAUCGUCAAAUUUGGGU